UACAGAGGGUGCAAGCGUUAAUCGGAAUUACUGGGCGUAAAGCGUGCGCAGUCGGUUAUUUAAGUCGGGCGUGAAAGCCCCGGGCUCAACCUGGGAAUUGCGUUCGAUACUGGAUAGCUAGAGUUCGGCAGAGGGAAGCGGAAUUUCGGGUGUAGCGGUGAAAUGCGUAGAUAUCCGAAGGAACAUCAGUGGCGAAAGCGGCUUCCUGGACCAGAACUGACGAUCAGGCACGAAAGCGUGGGGAG
This 245-nucleotide ribosomal RNA is filed under the name uncultured bacterium. RNAcentral describes it as "partial 16S ribosomal RNA". It matches the Rfam family "Bacterial small subunit ribosomal RNA", at positions 524 to 768 of the family's 1533-position model. The record is from RNAcentral.